This 453-nucleotide ribosomal RNA is filed under the name uncultured bacterium. RNAcentral's name for it is "bacterial SSU rRNA". It matches the Rfam family "Bacterial small subunit ribosomal RNA", at positions 340 to 786 of the family's 1533-position model. The record is from RNAcentral.
UACGGGAGGCAGCAGGGGGAAUAUUGCACAAUGGGCGCAAGCCUGAUGCAGCCAUGCCGCGUGUAUGAAGAAGGCCUUCGGGUUGUAAAGUACUUUCAGUCGUGAGGAAGGUGUUAAGGUUAAUAACCUUAGCAAUUGACGUUAGCGACAGAAGAAGCACCGGCUAACUCCGUGCCAGCAGCCGCGGUAAUACGGAGGGUGCGAGCGUUAAUCGGAAUUACUGGGCGUAAAGGGCACGCAGGCGGUUAAUUAAGUUGGAUGUGAAAUCCCCGGGCUUAACCUGGGAAUGGCAUUCAAGACUGGUUAGCUAGAGUCUUGUAGAGGGGGGUAGAAUUCCAUGUGUAGCGGUGAAAUGCGUAGAGAUGUGGAGGAAUACCGGUGGCGAAGGCGGCCCCUGGACAAAGACUGACGCUCAUGUGCGAAAGCGUGGGGAGCAAACAGGGAUUAGAUACC